GCACCCCGCAGCGAAGCGGCGGCUCUUUUAUUUCCCACUGCGUUUCCCCGACGCCGUUUUGGGUUUUUUUUGUCGUUUUUUGUCGUUUUGGUGGUUUUUUUUGGGGGGGGGGCGGUGGGGGGGGGUCACGGAAGGGCCGUUAUUAUUGGGGGGGGGGUCUGUAAUAAUAACGACCCCCCCACACCCCAAUAUCUGACCUAUGGGGGGGGUUGGAGGACCGACAAUAAUAACGCCCCUCCCCCAUUGUCUGAUAUAUGGGGGGGGCAUUUAAAGGGACACUGCGGAGUUUUUUGGGGGGGGGGUAAUAAAAUGGGGGGGUUUAAAGGGAUAUGGGGGGAUAUGGGGGGGUUUGGGGGGGGGGGUCCCAAAAUGGGGGGGUUGGAGGACCUACAUUAAUAAUG
RNAcentral lists this long non-coding RNA (401 nucleotides) under Gallus gallus (chicken). Its description in RNAcentral is "lncRNA (ENSGALG00010000072.1)". Lineage: Eukaryota; Metazoa; Chordata; Aves; Galliformes; Phasianidae. The record is from RNAcentral.